ACAGGAGACAUGAAGGGUGUAUGGUGGAUGCCUAGACUUAAGACAGCGAUGAAGGACGCGACUAACCAGCGAUAGCUUCGGGGAGGCGGUAUGUAGCCUUUGAUCCGGAGGUCUCCGAAUGGGGAAACCCAUCUGCGUAUGCAGAUACCUAUCGGGUAAUGCCGUUAGGUGCGCACCUCGGGAAGUGAAACAUCUCAGUACCGAGAGGAAAAUAAAACAAAAGCGAGCCGCGUUUUGUCCGCGCACUAUGUUUGUGCGGAUAAAACGCGUCUCUCGCGAUUCCCCAAGUAGCGGCGAGCGAAACGGGAUCUAGCCCAAACCGAGCACCUUCACAGGGUGUUUGACCAUGGUGAGCCUGCGAGGGCUUGUCGAUCUUCGGAAACGGAGAAGGUCGAAUGUCGCGUGAAGGUGCUCGGGGUUGUAAGGCAGGAGCUCCAUGCUUGCAUGGCGUAAGUUACAAAUCGUCCAUAUAGCGGAAACUGCUGGGAAGCAGUGCCCCAGAGGGUAAUGGCCCCGUACGCGAAAUAUGUACGACUUAUGUGCUCCUGUUCUUGAGUAGCUCGAGACACGAAUAGCUCGAGUGAAUCUGCCGGAACUAACCGGUAAGGCUAAAUAUGUCUUGAGAUCGAUAGUGAACUAGUACCGUGAGGGAAAGGUGAAAAGAACCCCGAGAGGGGAGUGAAAUAGAACUGAAACCAUACACUUACAAAGGGUGGGAGCGGGUCGAGAGCAAUCUCGGCGCCGUGACCGCGUGCCUAUUGAAGAAUGAGCCGGCGAGUGUACCUAUGUUGCAGGCUAAAUCCUUGAUCGGAUGCAGCCAGAGGGAAACCGAGCGUGAAUAGCGCGUGUGUAGCAUAGGUACGACCCGAAGCCAGAUGAGCUAGCCAUGAGCAGGGUGAAGUUUGGCGAAAGCCAAAUGGAGGCCCGAACCCGUUGAUCGUAUAACGUCUUGGGAUGACUUGUGGCUUGGAGUGAAAAGCUAAUCGAAUCUGGUAAUAGCUGGUUCUCUCCGAAACAGCUUUUGGGCUGGCGUCGCGUGUUCCCUCUGGGGGUAGAGCACUGGAAGGGACCAACAGGGAGAAAUCUCGUGGUCCCUAUCAACCUCCGAAUACCAGAGGUCAGAGCGCGGCAGUUAGAACGUGGGGGCGAAGCUCCAUGCGUCAAAAGGGGAAGAGCCCGGAUCGCCAGUUAAGGCCCCAAAGUCGACGCUCAGUAUAUCCAGAAGGAAGUGAGGAUCCUUUGACAAUGAGGAUGUUGGCUUAGAAGCAGCCACCAUUUAAAGAAAGCGUAACAGCUCACUCAUCGAGGGUCCUUGCGCCGAAGAUAAUCGGGAUUAAGCGUCGCGCCGAAACUGCGGGUGUGCAUUGUUUUCGAACGAUGUACGCGGUAGGAGAGCGUUCGCAUCGCGCUGAAGCUAAAGGGGUGACCCAUAGUGGAGCGUUGCGAAGUGAGGAUGCCGGUACAAGUAACCACAAUGCGGGUGAGAACCCCGCACGUCGAAAGACCAAGGUUUCCUGGACAAUGGUAAUCAUUCCAGGGUUAGUCGGGCCUAAGGGGAUGGCGAGAGCCGCACCCGAUGGACAUACGGUCAAUAUUCCGUAACCGUUCGCACAUGCGAUGGAGUGACGGACUGCUGUACUUAUCGCCUCCAAUUGGAUGGGGGUCGGUCGUGUGAGGAGGUCUGCUAGGCAAAUCCGGCAGGCGCUACUGCGAACACGGACGCAAUUUUCUCCCACGGGGGAAGAGAGGGUAGGGAGCGCGGUUCCUAGAAAAACUUCUAAGCUUCAGUGUGCGACGUCCGUACCGCAAACCAACACAGGUGGUCAAGCCGAGUAGGCUACGACGAACGAGUGAGAGGUCCUCAAGGAACUCGGCAAAAAAGCGGCCGUAAGUUAGCGAUAAGGCCUGCCCGUAGCAAUACGGGCCGCAGUGAAUGUUUUCCCAGCAACUGUUUACCAAAAACACAGCUCCCUGCGAACUCGUAAGAGGAUGUAUAGGGGGUGACACCUGACCAAUGCCGGAAGGUCAAUCACGGGUGGUCCCAAACUUCGGUUUGUGGCUGGACUGUGCAAGCCCCGGUGAAUGUCGGCGAUAACUAUAAUCGUCCUAAGGUAGCGCAAUUCCUUGUCGGGUAAAUUCCGACGUGCACGAAUGGUGUAAUGACUGGGAAACUGUCUCGAGGACUCGCUCGGUGAAAAUGCAAUACCGGUGAAGAUGCCGGUUACCUGUAGUUAGACGAAAAGACCCCAGGAGCUUUACUGCAGUUUGGUGUUGGGGCUGCGUGCUUCAUGCGUAGCAUAGUGGGGAGAGGUUGAAGCGGAGGUUUCGGCUUCCGUGGACUCGUCAGUGAAAUACCCAUCUUGAAGUGUGCAGUUCCUAACCGGUAGGAUGAACCCUAUCGGGACCGCGCCUGACGGGCAGUUUUGGUGGGGCGCUAUCCUCCUAAAAAGUAACGGAGGAGUCUAUUAAGGUCUUCUAGGCGCGAAUGGAAACCGUGCCGAUAGUGUAAUGGCAUAAGAAGGCUUAACUGCGAGGCGUACAUGCCGAGCAGAUGCGAAAGCAGAGCAUAGUGAACCGAUGGUACGCCUUAGAUGCGGCCAGAGAUUAACGGAUAUAAGUUACCCUGGGGAUAACAGGCUAGUUCCGCCCAAGCGUCCAUAGCGACGGCGGAGUUC
This 2675-nucleotide ribosomal RNA is filed under the name Minisyncoccota bacterium. RNAcentral describes it as "partial 23S ribosomal RNA". It matches the Rfam family "Bacterial large subunit ribosomal RNA", at positions 1 to 2519 of the family's 2925-position model. Lineage: Bacteria; Bacillati; Minisyncoccota. The record is from RNAcentral.